UUAGAUCGUACCCAAGUUACUUGGAUAACUGUGGUAAUUCUAGAGCUAAUACAUGCCGACAGAGUUCCGACCGUCGCGGCGCUCUCGGGCGUCGCGUGCGGGAGGAACGCUUUUAUUAGAUCAAAACCGGCCCGUCGCGGCGCGCCUCGCGCGCGUCCCGAUCGCGGCCCGCGCAAAGACCUGGUGACUCUGAAUAACUUCGAGCUGAUCGCACGGUCUCCGUACCGGCGACGCAUCUUUCAAAUGUCUGCCUUAUCAACUGUCGACGGUAGGUUCCAUGCCUACCGUGGUGGUAACGGGUAACGGGGAAUCAGGGUUCGAUUCCGGAGAGGGAGCCUGAGAAACGGCUACCACAUCCAAGGAAGGCAGCAGGCGCGCAAAUUACCCACUCCCGGAACGGGGAGGUAGUGACGAAAAAUAACGAUACGGGACUCAUCCGAGGCCCCGUAAUCGGAAUGAGGACACUUUAAAACCUUUAAACGAGGAUCAAUUGGAGGGCAAGUCUGGUGCCAGCAGCCGCGGUAAUUCCAGCUCCU
This 536-nucleotide ribosomal RNA is filed under the name Periphyllus testudinaceus. RNAcentral's name for it is "SSU rRNA". It matches the Rfam family "Eukaryotic small subunit ribosomal RNA", at positions 120 to 593 of the family's 1831-position model. The record is from RNAcentral. Lineage: Eukaryota; Metazoa; Arthropoda; Insecta; Hemiptera; Aphididae.